This is a non-coding RNA of Schistosoma rodhaini, 47 nucleotides long. The record is from Rfam. Lineage: Eukaryota; Metazoa; Platyhelminthes; Trematoda; Strigeidida; Schistosomatidae.
AUCCAGCUGAUGAGUCCCAUAGGCUGGACGAAACGCGCGUCCUGGAU